RNAcentral lists this small nuclear RNA (23 nucleotides) under Arabidopsis thaliana (thale cress). RNAcentral's name for it is "snRNA_13292". The record is from RNAcentral. Lineage: Eukaryota; Viridiplantae; Streptophyta; Magnoliopsida; Brassicales; Brassicaceae.
UCGCUAAUCGAUAUAUGGUUUUU